AGGCUAAGCCACAAACCUGAAAGUGCCUGGAAUGCUGGAUCACCUGAGGGAGAGCAGCCCUCGCCACAUAUCCAGAUUCUCAGCAGGCUUUGCCUGAGAGCGGAGUAAAGUUUUGCUAAGCUGCUGACAAUUGGGGGGUUAAUUUGUGAUUGCUGCCUAAUCUGUCUACAUAAAGGAGAAGCUGGAAAGGGGGGGGGGAUAGCUCAGUGGUAGAGUGUGUGCCUAACAUGCACGAGGUCCUGGGUUCGAUCCCCAGUACCUCCAUUAAAGACAAGCAAAUAAAAACCUAAUUACCUCCCCCAAAUAAAAAAUAUAUACAUAAUCAAUUAAAAACAAAAGAGAAGCGGGAAAGUCAGGAGAGGAUUUCUUUGAGGAAGUUUGCAAGAUGUUGGAGUACGUUCUUUCCAUUGCUCUGAUUGGGAAAGGCAGGUGGGUACUUCCCUUCCGCUUCUGCCUAGUGAGAGGGUCUUCAGAGGGACCAUGCAGAGAGCUGGACCUAUUCAUCUGGGGACCAGGAGACACAGAGACUGCAGGAUGCAGAGCAGGAAGUCUGAAGGUGAGAUCCUGUGGCUCAGCUGGAGAAUGGGCUGCUUUGAGAAUCAGCUACACUUUCAAAGUUUGGGACAAAGAUGGAGGAGACAAAGGACAAGCCAAGUGGAAGAAAGCUGACCUAGAGCUCCCUUAUAAGGACUUGGCUCAGGUCCACCACUUGCAGAAGCAUUAGGACCUAAUAGGCAGCCUGUGUCUGGGGGGCUGCAGGGGCAGGGCUGAGGAGGGACCCCAAAAGCAACCAGUCCCAGGAGAAGAAGAUGCCAACCUCUGGGUUCUGAAAUACCAAAAGGGCCCCAAGAGGAAGAGUCAAGGUUAACCCUCUGCUACAGCUGGAAGUCAUCCUUUCCUGCCCUUGAAUUCUCCUCUGUCCUGCACCUAGAGGUAGCAGAGGCAUCCUCUUGAGUUGAAAAGAGAGGCCGAUGCUCCAGGUGGGGAAAUGAAGAAUGUGGCUUUGGCCCCCUCCUGGAUGAAGGAGCAGCUUUGCUAUUAAAUGCAUUUGAGAGUUUUAACUCUUGCUUGGGACUGAAUAGUUUUGCUAUGAAAAAAAGAUUGAGAGUCUAAAAGUAGAGGAUUUUUUUUAUACACAAGGAUGACAGAAAACAUAUACAUUUUUGAUUAUAAGGAGGAAUUUGUCCUACAGAGCAGGUUUGAAAGGACAGAACAGAGGAACGUGUGUGCUUUUUAUUUUUCAUUUUUGUUUUGCUGCACUUCCUCUUUGAAAGAUACGUGUUCACAAGCAUCACAAAUGAUGCUGUUGAUUACAUUAACAUCAAAACACUCAAAACAGAACAGCUACCUGAAAUAUGCACUAGAGAGAGGUCUGUUCUUGAAUUCCAUCGCGGAGUAUGACACUGUGAGUAACACACCAUUCUUCUGAUCAUAGAAUAUAAUCUCCUAAAAUGGGAUAGGAUCCUGGAGCCAAAGGUCCAUGAACCUUCACUACAAUGUCUUAAAACAUUUAAAACAGCGUCUUAAAAAAAAUCUAUUAAUUGUAACGCAAAACUGCUUGAUAGUUAGAGCUCAGAGAAACGUUGACCAACAAUUUUCCUAAAUGCCUUUUAUUGCCCACAGGAAACACCUUACCAACGUGUUCCAUGAAGAAACAGCAGCUCUGCCUGGGGUGGCUCUGCUGAGGAGAAACCACAGAGAAUCAUUUGGAGGUGAAGGUUGGCGGCAUCUCAUCUCUUGCCCACAUGUGCAGCUUUGGUGCCGAUCUGUGAAUGACUUCAGAAAGGAAGGAAUUAACAUAUCCCCUCUGGAGGCUGACAAGAAGCAGGAAAUGUUUGAUUUUACUCCUUCUCCCUUCAGUAUAAAAGAAACGUGAAUUCUAACUCAGGACCUGGCCCAGCUUCAAACUUCCAGUCUCUGUGAGGAUGCAAGGAGUAGUCAGCAGUCUGCAAUUGGAACAACCUGGAACAACCUGGAAGAGGUCCUUCAGCAGAACCAGACCGUGCUGGCAUCCUGAUCUUGGACUUCCAACCUCCAGGACUAUGAGGAAUAAAUUUCUGUUUAUAAGCC
Vicugna pacos (alpaca) is the source of this 2070-nucleotide non-coding RNA. Lineage: Eukaryota; Metazoa; Chordata; Mammalia; Artiodactyla; Camelidae. The record is from RefSeq and is a predicted model, not a curated record.